Molecule: ribosomal RNA, 534 nt
Filed under: uncultured bacterium
Lineage: Bacteria
Description: bacterial SSU rRNA
Rfam family: Bacterial small subunit ribosomal RNA
Source: RNAcentral
AGUGGCGAACGGGUGCGUAACACGUGAGUCAUCUGCCUGAAAGUGGGGGAUAGCUCGCCGAAAGGCGAAUUAAUACCGCAUGUGGUUGUAAGACCAAAGCCGGGGCAACCUGGCGCUUUUAGAGGAACUCGCGGCCUAUCAGCUUGUUGGUGAGGUAACGGCUUACCAAGGCUUCGACGGGUAGCUGGUCUGAGAGGACGACCAGCCACACUGGAACUGAGACACGGUCCAGACACCUACGGGUGGCAGCAGUCGAGAAUUUUUCUCAAUGGGGGAAACCCUGAAGGAGCGACGCCGCGUGGAGGAUGAAUGCUUUCGGGUUGUAAACUCCUGUCAUUUGGGAACAAAGCCUUACGUUAACUACGUGGAGGUUUGAUAGUACCGAAAGAGGAAGAGACGGCUAACUCUGUGCCAGCAGCCGCGGUAAUACAGAGGUCUCAAGCGUUGUUCGGAUUCAUUGGGCGUAAAGGGCGCGUAGGCGGCGGGGUAAGUCGGGUGUGAAAUCUCAGAGCUCAACUCUGAAACUGCACUCGA